GACGAACGCUGGCGGCGUGCCUAAUACAUGCAAGUUGAGCGCUGAAGGUUGGUACUUGUACCGACUGGAUGAGCAGCGAACGGGUGAGUAACGCGUGGGGAAUCUGCCUUUGAGCGGGGGACAACAUUUGGAAACGAAUGCUAAUACCGCAUAAAAACUUUAAACACAAGUUUUAAGUUUGAAAGAUGCAAUUGCAUCACUCAAAGAUGAUCCCGCGUUGUAUUAGCUAGUUGGUGAGGUAAAGGCUCACCAAGGCGAUGAUGCAUAGCCGACCUGAGGGGGGGGACGGCCAACAUUGGACUGGGGAAACGGCCAAGAUCCUUCGGGGGGCAGCAGGAGGGAAUCUUUCGGAAAGGGCCAAAGGCUGACCGGGCAACGCCGGGGUGGUGGAGGAGGUUCUCGGGUCGGAAAACUCCGUUGGUAGGGGAGGAAGUUGGGGGGAGUGAAAUGCGCAUAAAGUGACGGUAACUACCCAGAAAGGGACGGCUAACUACGUG
This 497-nucleotide ribosomal RNA is filed under the name uncultured bacterium. RNAcentral describes it as "partial 16S ribosomal RNA". It matches the Rfam family "Bacterial small subunit ribosomal RNA", at positions 28 to 507 of the family's 1533-position model. The record is from RNAcentral.